CAAAGAAGGAUGCUUUUAGAAUAUUGUGUUUUAUUUCUAUUAAUGCCAUAUUCUUAUGGACAGUCCCUGACCUCCUCUCCUUCUGUGGUGAAGAGACCUGGAGAGUCAGUCACUCUGUCCUGUGCCAUCUCUGGAUUCUCAAUGAGCAACUGGAUGAGCUGGAUCCGUCAGAAACCAGGACAAGCACUGGAGUGGAUCGGAUACAUUGAUAGUGGCACAGGCACUGGAUUCGCUCAGUCUCUGCAGGGACAGUUCUCCAUCACUAAAGACACCAAUAAGAACAUGCUGUAUCUAGAAGUGAAGAGUCUGAAAGCUGAAGACACGGCUGUUUAUUACUGUGCACGAUACACACACUGA
Molecule: non-coding RNA, 357 nt
Organism: Clarias gariepinus (North African catfish)
Lineage: Eukaryota; Metazoa; Chordata; Actinopteri; Siluriformes; Clariidae
Source: the annotation of a RefSeq genome assembly